AAGUUGUUCUUAUGGAAAAUAGGCAAAUCUUAAUGAGGUGAGGUCUGCUGUCUUGUCCUUGGCUUUCAUUGGCUGACAAUAUGCAACAUUUUGAUUGGAUGUGGAAAUAAGAUUUGGAAACUGUGU
Haliotis rubra (blacklip abalone) is the source of this 126-nucleotide long non-coding RNA. RefSeq lists it as uncharacterized. The record is from RefSeq and is a predicted model, not a curated record. The transcript has 3 exons. NCBI's taxonomy places the organism in Eukaryota, Metazoa, Mollusca, Gastropoda, Lepetellida, Haliotidae.